GACGAACGCUGGCGGCGUGCUUAACACAUGCAAGUCGAACGGAAAGGCCCUGCUUUUGUGGGGUGCUCGAGUGGCGAACGGGUGAGUAACACGUGAGUAACCUGCCCUUGACUUUGGGAUAACUUCAGGAAACUGGGGCUAAUACCGGAUAGGAGCUCCUGCUGCAUGGUGGGGGUUGGAAAGUUUCGGCGGUUGGGGAUGGACUCGCGGCUUAUCAGCUUGUUGGUGGGGUAGUGGCUUACCAAGGCUUUGACGGGUAGCCGGCCUGAGAGGGUGACCGGCCACAUUGGGACUGAGAUACGGCCCAGACUCCUACGGGAGGCAGCAGUGGGGAAUAUUGCACAAUGGGCGGAAGCCUGAUGCAGCAACGCCGCGUGCGGGAUGACGGCCUUCGGGUUGUAAACCGCUUUCGCCUGUGACGAAGCGUGAGUGACGGUAAUGGGUAAAGAAGCACCGGCUAACUACGUGCCAGCAGCCGCGGUGAUACGUAGGGUGCGAGCGUUGUCCGGAUUUAUUGGGCGUAAAGGGCUCGUAGGUGGUUGAUCGCGUCGGAAGUGUAAUCUUGGGGCUUAACCCUGAGCGUGCUUUCGAUACGGGUUGACUUGAGGAAGGUAGGGGAGAAUGGAAUUCCUGGUGGAGCGGUGGAAUGCGCAGAUAUCAGGAGGAACACCAGUGGCGAAGGCGGUUCUCUGGGCCUUUCCUGACGCUGAGGAGCGAAAGCGUGGGGAGCGAACAGGCUUAGAUACCCUGGUAGUCCACGCUGUAAACGGUGGGUACUAGGUGUGGGGUCCAUUCCACGGGUUCCGUGCCGUAGCUAACGCUUUAAGUACCCCGCCUGGGGAGUACGGCCGCAAGGCUAAAACUCAAAGGAAUUGACGGGGCCCCGCACAAGCGGCGGAGCAUGCGGAUUAAUUCGAUGCAACGCGUAGAACCUUACCUGGGUUUGACAUGGAUCGGGAGCGCUCAGAGAUGGGUGUGCCUCUUUUGGGGUCGGUUCACAGGUGGUGCAUGGCUGUCGUCAGCUCGUGUCGUGAGAUGUUGGGUUAAGUCCCGCAACGAGCGCAACCCUUGUUCACUGUUGCCAGCACGUUAUGGUGGGGACUCAGUGGAGACCGCCGGGGUCAACUCGGAGGAAGGUGGGGAUGACGUCAAGUCAUCAUGCCCCUUAUGUCCAGGGCUUCACGCAUGCUACAAUGGCUGGUACAGAGAGUGGCGAGCCUGUGAGGGUGAGCGAAUCUCGGAAAGCCGGUCUCAGUUCGGACUGGGGUCUGCAACUCGACCUCAUGAAGUCGGAGUCGCUAGUAAUCGCAGAUCAGCAACGCUGCGGUGAAUACGUUCCCGGG
Molecule: ribosomal RNA, 1343 nt
Filed under: uncultured bacterium
Lineage: Bacteria
Description: 16S ribosomal RNA
Rfam family: Bacterial small subunit ribosomal RNA
Source: RNAcentral